ACAGAGGGUGCGAGCGUUAAUCGGAAUUACUGGGCGUAAAGCGUGCGUAGACGGUAGCGUAAGUCGGGUGUGAAAGCCCCGGGCUCAACCUGGGAAUUGCAUUCGAGACUGCUCUGCUAGGGUGCGGAAGAGGGAAGCGGAAUUUCCGGUGUAGCGGUGAAAUGCGUAGAUAUCGGAAGGAACACCAGUGGCGAAAGCGGCUUCCUGGUCCAGCACCGACGUUCAGGCACGAAAGCGUGGGGAGCAAACAGGA
This 253-nucleotide ribosomal RNA is filed under the name uncultured prokaryote. RNAcentral describes it as "partial 16S ribosomal RNA". It matches the Rfam family "Bacterial small subunit ribosomal RNA", at positions 525 to 777 of the family's 1533-position model. The record is from RNAcentral.